UCCUGGCCCUAAACAAUGUUCAUUGGGUGUUAAAGGUAUCGACCCCUUUAGUGCCGUAGCUAACGCGUUAAAUGAACCGCCUGGGGAUUACGAUCGCAAGAUUAAAACUCAAAAGAAUUGACGGGGGCCCGCACAAGCGGUGGAGCAUGUGGUUUAAUUCGAUGCUACGCGAACAACCUUACCUGGGCUUGACAUGUUGGUAGUAGUGAACCGAAAGGGGAACGAUCCGGAGCAAUCCGGAAGCCUUCACAGGUGCUGCAUGGCUGUCGUCAGUUCGUGUCGUGAGAUGUUUGGUUAAGUCCAACAACGAACGCAACCCCCAUUGCCAGUUGACAGCGUAAAGUCGGUCACUCUGGCGAAACUGCCCCUGAUGAAGGGGAGGAAGGUGGGGACGAGGUCAAGUCAUCAUG
Molecule: ribosomal RNA, 410 nt
Filed under: uncultured bacterium
Lineage: Bacteria
Description: bacterial SSU rRNA
Rfam family: Bacterial small subunit ribosomal RNA
Source: RNAcentral